CCGGAAUCAUUACGUCUCGGAUUACUGGGCGUAAGCGUGCGUAGGUGGUCGUUUAAGUCCGUUGUGAAAGCCCUGGGCUCAACCUGGGAACUGCAGUGGAUACUGGGCGACUAGAAUGUGGUAGAGGGUAGCGGAAUUCCUGGUGUAGCAGUGAAAUGCGUAGAGAUCAGGAGGAACAUCCAUGGCGAAGGCAGCUACCUGGACCAACAUUGACACUGAGGCACGAAAGCGUGGGGAGCAAACAGGAUUAGAUACCCCCGUAGUCCA
This 267-nucleotide ribosomal RNA is filed under the name Stenotrophomonas maltophilia. RNAcentral's name for it is "partial 16S ribosomal RNA". It matches the Rfam family "Bacterial small subunit ribosomal RNA", at positions 548 to 797 of the family's 1533-position model. Lineage: Bacteria; Pseudomonadati; Pseudomonadota; Gammaproteobacteria; Lysobacterales; Lysobacteraceae. The record is from RNAcentral.